This 209-nucleotide long non-coding RNA is filed under the name Vigna radiata. Its description in RNAcentral is "long non-coding RNA (VRAD_LNC014826)". Lineage: Eukaryota; Viridiplantae; Streptophyta; Magnoliopsida; Fabales; Fabaceae. The record is from RNAcentral.
CCUGGGAAUCAAGUGAAGAGCAUUAAUUGUAGCCUUGUAGACGUUGGCCCCUCAUUAAAACCGACGUCAAUAAACUGUCUUAUCGCCUACCUCAGGCCAUUAGACGUUAGUGUAGGGCAGAGCAGACGUCUACAAUCUCAUAGACGUUGCCUUCCCUUGAAACUGAUGUCUAGGUUACCAACUUAUUUACGGUAAUGCCACCGUCCGCA